RNAcentral lists this ribosomal RNA (373 nucleotides) under uncultured bacterium. RNAcentral's name for it is "bacterial SSU rRNA". It matches the Rfam family "Bacterial small subunit ribosomal RNA", at positions 527 to 898 of the family's 1533-position model. The record is from RNAcentral.
AGAGGUGGCAAGCGUUGUUCGGAAUUACUGGGCGUAAAGGGCGCGUAGGCGGCCAUCUAAGUCAGACGUGAAAUCCCCCGGCUUAACCUGGGAACUGCGUCUGAUACUGGACGGCUUGAGUAUGGGAGAGGGAUGUAGAAUUCCAGGUGUAGCGGUGAAAUGCGUAGAUAUCUGGAGGAAUACCGGUGGCGAAGGCGGCAUCCUGGACCAUUACUGACGCUGAGGCGCGAAAGCUAGGGGAGCAAACGGGAUUAGAUACCCCGGUAGUCCUAGCCCUAAACGAUGAAUGCUUGGUGUGGCGGGUAUCGAUCCCUGCCGUGCCGAAGCUAACGCAUUAAGCAUUCCGCCUGGGGAGUACGGUCGCAAGGCUGAA